This 301-nucleotide ribosomal RNA is filed under the name uncultured bacterium. Its description in RNAcentral is "partial 16S ribosomal RNA". It matches the Rfam family "Bacterial small subunit ribosomal RNA", at positions 509 to 807 of the family's 1533-position model. The record is from RNAcentral.
CAGCAGCCGCGGUAAAACGAAGGGUGCAAGCGUUAAUCGGAAUUACUGGGCGUAAAGCGCACGUAGGCGGAUUUUUAAGUCAGGGGUGAAAUCCCGAGGCUCAACCUCGGAACUGCCUUUGAUACUGGAGAUCUUGAGUUCGGAAGAGGUUGGUGGAACAGCUAGUGUAGAGGUGAAAUUCGUAGAUAUUAGCUAGAACACCAGUGGCGAAGGCGGCCAACUGGUCCGAUACUGACGCUGAGGUGCGAAAGCGUGGGGAGCAAACAGGAUUAGAUACCCGUGUAGUCCCUGUCUCUUAUAC